RNAcentral lists this unclassified non-coding RNA (240 nucleotides) under soil metagenome. Its description in RNAcentral is "partial contains 5.8S ribosomal RNA, internal transcribed spacer 2, and large subunit ribosomal RNA". The record is from RNAcentral.
AACGCACGAGACCUGCGGACCUGCGGAGGGAUCAUUAAUGAGAAACUGCCCCUCGCGGGUAGACCUCCCACCCUUUGUAAACUUACCUUUGUUGCUUUGGCAGGCCCGUCUCCGGACCGCCGGCUUCGGCUGGCCAGUGCCUGCCAGAGGAUUCUAAAACUCUGUCUGUCAGUGUUGUCUGAGUCUAUAUACAAUCGUUAAAACUUUCAACAACGGAUCUCUAGAUCGGAAGAGCACACG